RNAcentral lists this ribosomal RNA (202 nucleotides) under uncultured bacterium. Its description in RNAcentral is "partial 16S ribosomal RNA". It matches the Rfam family "Bacterial small subunit ribosomal RNA", at positions 29 to 237 of the family's 1533-position model. The record is from RNAcentral.
AAUGAACGCUGGCGGCGUGGAUUAGGCAUGCAAGUCGCACGGGCAUUAGCAAUAGUGUCAGUGGCGAACGGGUUAGUACAAGUUGGGUGACCUUCCCGGAAGUGGGGGACAACCCCGAGAAGUCGGGGCUAAUACCGCAUAUGGACUCAGGGCUGCGGCCUUGCGUCUAAAGCAGUGAUGCGCUUCCGGAUGGGCCCGACCC